Molecule: non-coding RNA, 77 nt
Organism: Budorcas taxicolor (takin)
Lineage: Eukaryota; Metazoa; Chordata; Mammalia; Artiodactyla; Bovidae
Source: the annotation of a RefSeq genome assembly
UCCCUGAAUAGUGGUCCAGUGGUUAAGACUUUGUGCUCUCAAUGCAGAGGGCCUAGGUUUGAUCCCUGGUCAGGGAA